AGGGCUGCAGCAAUGAAAUACCACAAACUUGGCGGCUUAGAACAAUGGUUUAUUGCCUCACCUGGAAGCUUCAUAUCUGCCUCUGAUAAGGAAAUGAGACAAAUGACACUGGAGUGGAGAGCUUCUUAGGAGGAGGAAACAGACAAAGAGAAGCUAGAGGACAACAUAUUUUGGAUUUCUCAGUUCCCCUAAGAAUGACAGAGAAUGAGAGAGACAAUUCUUCCAUCCACUAGUCCAUUCCUCAGAAGAGUGCAACGUCCAGGGUUGGGGCAUGCCGAAGCCAGGAUCCAGGGACUCCAUCUGGGUCUCCCACAGGAGUGACCAGGAGACAUCACCUGCUGCCUCCCAAGCUCAUUAGCAGGGAGCUGGAUCUGAAGUGAAGGCAAGACUCAGUCUUAGGCACACCAACAUGAGAUGUAGGUAUUCCCAACAAUUGCCCCAAUGCUAUUAUAGUUGUUAUAGGCAUAUUCAUGGUGUUUUGUUUUCCAUUUUUAAAUGCUCAAAUAUUCAAAUUUCACUUGGAAAUACUGUUUUAGAUCUCAUCAAAUAAGAUAGCAAGGGCUGGUGUACAUCAAUCUCUUUAUAAUCUAAAAGUGAUAAUUCAGGUCCUGUUUAAUAAAUGUAUAAACUAUGCUCAAAAGCCAAUGGUACUAUGCCAGAAAGAGAAGAUUAAUUAAUAAGUGAUUGAGUUAUCCACCUGUUUAUAAUUGUGAUCUAACUGUUUAAAUGAAGCCUUAUACCUUAAUCACAAUGAUGGCUGAUUUUUGGCUUCUCCUCUAUAGUUUAAGA
Long non-coding RNA from Lepus europaeus (European hare), 789 nucleotides. RefSeq lists it as uncharacterized. NCBI's taxonomy places the organism in Eukaryota, Metazoa, Chordata, Mammalia, Lagomorpha, Leporidae. The transcript has 3 exons. The record is from RefSeq and is a predicted model, not a curated record.